GAUGAACGCUGGCGGCGUGCCUAAUACAUGCAAGUCGAGCGAACAGACGAGGAGCUUGCUCCUCUGACGUUAGCGGCGGACGGGUGAGUAACACGUGGAUAACCUACCUAUAAGACUGGGAUAACUUCGGGAAACCGGAGCUAAUACCGGAUAAUAUAUUGUACCGCAUGGUUCAAUAGUGAAAGACGGUUUUGCUGUCACUUAUAGAUGGAUCCGCGCCGCAUUAGCUAGUUGGUAAGGUAACAGCUUACCAAGGCAACGAUGCGUAGCCGACCUGAGAGGGUGAUCGGCCACACUGGAACUGAGACACGGUCCAGACUCCUACGGGAGGCAGCAGUAGGGAAUCUUCCGCAAUGGGCGAAAGCCUGACGGAGCAACGCCGCGUGAGUUAUGAAGGUCUUCGGAUCGUAAAACUCUGUUAUUAGGGAAGAACAAAUGUGUAAGUAACUAUGCACGUCUUGACGGUACCUAAUCAGAAAGCCACGGCUAACUACGUG
This 497-nucleotide ribosomal RNA is filed under the name uncultured bacterium. RNAcentral's name for it is "partial 16S ribosomal RNA". It matches the Rfam family "Bacterial small subunit ribosomal RNA", at positions 28 to 507 of the family's 1533-position model. The record is from RNAcentral.